RNAcentral lists this transfer RNA (66 nucleotides) under Phycisphaerales bacterium. RNAcentral describes it as "tRNA-Phe". It matches the Rfam family "tRNA". Rfam says of the family: Transfer RNA (tRNA) molecules are approximately 80 nucleotides in length. Their secondary structure includes four short double-helical elements and three loops (D, anti-codon, and T loops). Further hydrogen bonds mediate the characteristic L-shaped molecular structure. tRNAs have two regions of fundamental functional importance: the anti-codon, which is responsible for specific mRNA codon recognition, and the 3' end, to which the tRNAs corresponding amino acid is attached (by aminoacyl-tRNA synthetases). tRNAs cope with the degeneracy of the genetic code in two manners: having more than one tRNA (with a specific anti-codon) for a particular amino acid; and 'wobble' base-pairing, i.e. permitting non-standard base-pairing at the 3rd anti-codon position. Lineage: Bacteria; Pseudomonadati; Planctomycetota; Phycisphaerae; Phycisphaerales. The record is from RNAcentral.
UAGCUCAGUUGGUAGAGCAUCGCACUGAAAAUGCGAGGGUCCCCGGUUCAAGUCCGGGCCUGCCCA